AUGGAAAUCGACGGCGAUGGCGGCGGCGGCGAACCGGAGGACAGGGGGAGAGUCGAGCUGGUGGACCUCCUGGAAGCCAUCAGAACCUCGGAGGUUUUGGAGAGCAGAACUUCCCUUAUCAACCAACUCGAGGGUUCCUCCCAGUUUUCUGCAGAAGAUCUGGGCCUAAUACUUGAAACCCUCACUGCAUCUUGGGAUCAUUCCAGAUGUUCAGGUGUAUCACACUGCCUGCUACACAGGUCAGUUUUGCAGGUUGUUCUGAAAUGCGCUGAGUUAGAUACAGCUGCAUGUCUGCCGCAAUUUCUUACUCUCGGUGCAAAGGCCAGCUCAUGGUGUGGGAAGCAUCUCAUAUGGUUCACCGAAUCUAUUGAUGAAUCUGAAGCACUUCAAGAGGAAGAGCACAACUGUUUAUGCUUAGAGAUAAUUUUACUGACCUUAAAUAUCUCUAUCAAGCUCCUUCCAAUGGCGGCAAAAUGCAUCACUGUUGAUGUGGUGCAUACUAUUGGUGGUUUUAUUUCGGAAUUGCUAACACUGACGGAAAGCUCAAUAGUUGACAAGAAAAUUAAUGGAACUGCAGCACAUGUUGCCAAGGCUGCACCUGUUUUUCUGGAUGAAACCAUCAAACUGUGCAGAGCAUAUUGUGAGGCUGCAAAGUCAGAUAUCGGCAGAACUUGCAUGCCUACAGAAGAGACAACUGUGAAACACGAAUUACCAGAUCUUACAAGCGACGUGGUCAGGAUUACAGCAUGCACUAUUCAGACCUUGUGUAAAAUAGGAACAUAUGCAGCAUCCAGUGGUGGAAGCCAGGUGGCUUUAUUGAAUGUGUCAUGGAAGGGUGUAGUUUCCUUACUUCAACUUGGCAAAGGACUGAUAGAAGUAAAAGUAAGUGUCAGUAAUAUCAUUUCGACUCUUAUCUCCCUUGUCAUUGAAUCUUUGAGGGUUGCUGCGGAUACAUGGUGUACGUCAUUACAAGAAGCCCUUGGUGUAUCUGAAGCUAGAAGGGCAUUCUUACCAAUCAAGUUUUUCUUAAUAAAUGCUGUAAGGAUUUGUUCUGUAUAUCCAUCCGAAGCACUGACUAUAUACAAGGACAUGAUCAGGUGUGUAUUGGUGAUAUCAUCCUCAAGCAUUUUAUUCAGCAAAGAUCCCCUGUUGAAAGCAGCUUAUGAGCCACUUGUUGAAUUAUUGGAGUCUAAUUCCUUUCAUUUACUAGACACACUUAUGAAGUCAUCAGAAGUAAGACUAGAGUCGAAAUGCCAGCUUGUGCAGUAUUUUCUGGAAAAUGAAGAAGCUAAUGGUCCAGCUCAACUGGGGCAGAAUGAUCAGAGAGAGAUAAAUUUGGUUUCAUUGGGCAGCAUUUUCUCUCUGGAUCCUGAUGUCGAUAACAGAAACAGAGCUCUUUUACCUGCUAAACUUAUUGUGUUUUUGCACUUCCUCACUAUUUCCCCAAACUUGGAUGAAGAGGUGGUCAUCGAAUUAUCUAAAAAGCUACAAUGUCUUCUCAAUAUGUUAACAUUGGAAGAUGUCUACUCAUUUGUCCUUGGCUGCCAUAUUCCUACAGUUUAUAGUGCUGACCAUCCUCCUGUAGUUGUCUGGCAACCUGUGUAUACUUUUCUCAUACAAGCCCUGAAGACUUAUAUGAUUGCUGCUGCUGCUGCUGCUUCAAGUGUUGCUUGGAAUGAGCUGGAAGCCUUCCUACUUGAGAGCCUUUUCCAUCCCCAUUUCUUUUGCUUGGAAAUUUUAACAGAGCUAUGGUGUUUCUUCACGCGCUGUGCUGAAAGUGAAACUUCAACUUAUUUAAUCAACCAACUAUUUCUUCUGUUAAAGACUGCAGCGUCAUCAGAGAAAGUUCUUGCACCUCUCAGUGCUUUCCGGAAGGUUGCACGUGCAUUCUGUAUCAUCUUGAGCUAUGCAUCAUGUGCAACUGUUGAUCAAAUUUAUACCUGUGUGCUGAAUGAUCAUAACUCUUCCAAGUCAUCAGUCCUGCACUUAGCGUUGUUGCUGGAAGGAUUUCCUUUUGAUUCAUUGUCAGAUGGUAUAAAGGUGCAUGCUGUAAACCAAUUGUUCACUUCUUUUCUCGGGUAUCUACAGAGCUCCUUGAAGAAUCAUGGUGCGAUUGAUUUGCCAACUUCUAGUUCGGGGGUAAUAGGUCUUCCUGUACAUGCUCUAGCCUCUGCAUUGCAGCGAUGCGAAAUAAAGGACUAUAGCCCCAUAGAUGGGAAGAGUAUUACCACUAUGUUUAAGUUCAGCAUCUCCCUCAUCAAUCUGUAUAGAACUGCACCUGACAGCAGUAAGGGCCAACUUGCCCAGCUCAUUAGUUCCGUAUUGGAUAUUAUCUCAAACAUGAGGCAUCUGUGGGCAUUCUAUCAGAUGGAGAAACUAACUCUAGAGUUGCACACCUUGUUCAUGUCUAGUUCUGACAAUUCAAAGGCAGUGCUGUCCCAGUGCAAACCAUCACUAGCUUCAUUUAUGGCAAUUCUUGGUCACUUGAACUCCAGCGAAGAUGAUUCUAAUUCACUUUGUUCUGCAAUGCCGGAUUUAUACCAUCUCUUGGUGAGGGAAAGGCACUGGGCACUCGUUCACCUAGCAAUGGGCUCCUUUGGCUACUUUGCUGCCCGUACAUCUUUUACGCAGCUCUGGAGAUUCGUUCCUGGAGAUGCUGCCCUUUCAUAUAAUACAAAUACAGGGGUGGACAUUGACGAGAACGGAUUCAUGUUGGAACUGAGAGCCUUUCUUCAGAAAGAGGUUGCUUUACGCGCUGACAAAUGGUCUGAAGAGCAGGUUUGCUUUCUAGUUUCAGAGGGGAGAGUGCUGAAGAAACUGGUUGAAACAACAUCUGAAAUUCCACAAGCUCCAGAGCGCGAGGAAAAAGCUGCCAUUUCAAUGGAUGUCAACACAAAGAAGAGGAAGAUGCCAGAUGGAAUCGGCGAAGGGAUGGCGCUGCUACAGAAUGGUCUCAAGGUGAUGCGAAGCGCUUUAUAUGAAACUGAUUCAGCAGAGCUCAAGGACAGGCUUGCGACACACUUGUCACGCCUCGAGAGCGCAGUUUCCCAAAUUGCAAGUUUCUCUGACAAAAUCUGA
RNAcentral lists this ribosomal RNA (3078 nucleotides) under Triticum aestivum (bread wheat). RNAcentral's name for it is "partial small subunit ribosomal RNA". Lineage: Eukaryota; Viridiplantae; Streptophyta; Magnoliopsida; Poales; Poaceae. The record is from RNAcentral.